This 119-nucleotide ribosomal RNA is filed under the name Pteropus alecto (black flying fox). Lineage: Eukaryota; Metazoa; Chordata; Mammalia; Chiroptera; Pteropodidae. The record is from RNAcentral.
GUCUAUGGCCAUGCUACCCUGAACACACCCGAUCCCAUCUGAUCUUGGAAGCAAAGCAGGGUCAGGCCUGGAUAGUACUUGGAUGAGAGACCACCUAGGAAGAGCAGGUGCUGUAGGUG